CUAUACAUGACUCUGCGCAUAUCAAUAAGCGGAGGAAAAGAAACUAACAAGGAUUCCCUUAGUAACGGCGAGUGAAGCGGGAAGAGCUCAAAUUUGAAAUCUUGAAAGGUCACCUUUCACGAAUUGUAGUUUAAAGAAGUGUCUUCUGUUACGAUCGUAAUAUAAGUUCUUUGGAAUAGGACAUCACAGAGGGUGAGAAUCCCGUCUAUGAUUGCGAUUUGUAGCUUUGUGAUACACUUUCAAAGAGUCGGAUUGUUUGGGAAUGCAGUCCAAAACGGGAGGUAAAUUUCUUCUAAGGCUAAAUAUUGGCGAGAGACCGAUAGCGAACAAGUACCGUGAGGGAAAGAUGAAAAGAACUUUGAAAAGAGAGUUAAAUAGUACGUGAAAUUGUCAAAAGGGAAGCGUUUAACACCAGUGUUGUUUUCUGAAAAUCAACCUCUGUUAGCUUUAUGCAUGUUUGUUUAGACCUAAUCAGCUAUCUUGCAUGUUCUAUUGUUUGCAGUGGUGCACUUUUCAGUUUACAGGUCAACAUCAGUUUUUUUACCGUAAAAAAGUUAAAGAAAGGUAGCUCAUGGCUCCGGUCGUGAGUGUUAUAGUCUUUUUCCUAUGCGGUAGGAGAGACUGAGGUCUGCAGUGUAGGCUAUUUGGCUAGAUACUCAGGUGCUAUGUGAUACCAUUUCAUAAACAACUUGUUGAUUAUGUUUUGUCUAUUGCAUACUCGCUUGUACUAUCAUACCUACGCUUAGGAUGUUGAGUCGUAGAGCACGCAG
This 770-nucleotide ribosomal RNA is filed under the name uncultured Neocallimastigales. RNAcentral's name for it is "partial large subunit ribosomal RNA". It matches the Rfam family "Eukaryotic large subunit ribosomal RNA", at positions 22 to 632 of the family's 3401-position model. The record is from RNAcentral. Lineage: Eukaryota; Fungi; Neocallimastigomycota; Neocallimastigomycetes; Neocallimastigales.